Molecule: transfer RNA, 71 nt
Filed under: Lobocla bifasciata
Lineage: Eukaryota; Metazoa; Arthropoda; Insecta; Lepidoptera; Hesperiidae
Description: tRNA-Cys
Source: RNAcentral
AGUCUUAUAUUCAUAUAAUAUGAUUUAAAAUCGCAAAUUUUAGGGAGUACAUAAAAUAAUUACUAAGGCUU